RNAcentral lists this transfer RNA (73 nucleotides) under Flavobacteriales bacterium. Its description in RNAcentral is "tRNA-Lys". It matches the Rfam family "tRNA". Rfam says of the family: Transfer RNA (tRNA) molecules are approximately 80 nucleotides in length. Lineage: Bacteria; Pseudomonadati; Bacteroidota; Flavobacteriia; Flavobacteriales. The record is from RNAcentral.
GUGCCCGUAGCUCAGCUGGUAGAGCAGUGGCCUUUUAAGCCAUUGGCCGCAGGUUCGAAUCCUGCCGGGCAUA